RNAcentral lists this ribosomal RNA (406 nucleotides) under uncultured bacterium. RNAcentral describes it as "partial 16S ribosomal RNA". It matches the Rfam family "Bacterial small subunit ribosomal RNA", at positions 29 to 526 of the family's 1533-position model. The record is from RNAcentral.
ACGAACGCUGGCGGCUGCUUAACACAUGCAAGUCGAACGGAGUGGCGACCGGGUGAGUAACGCGUGAGCAACCUGCCUAUGACAGUGGGAUAGCCUCGGGAAACCGGGAUUAAUACCGCAUAGUCAUAGAUGGGCUCGCGUCUGAUUAGCUAGUUGGUGCGAUAACAGCCCACCAAGGCGACGAUCAGUAGCCUGUCUGAGAGGAUGAACGGCGACAUUGGAACUGAGACACGGUCCAAACGCUGACGGGAGGGAGCAGUGGGGAAUAUUGCACAAGGGGGGAAAUCAUGAUGCAGCGACGCCGCGGGAACGAAGAAGGUAUUCGUAUCGUAAAGUUCUGUCCUAUGUGAAGCAGUACCAUAGAAGAAAGCUCCGGCUAAAUACGUGCCAGCAGCCGCGGUAAUUC